AUAUAUAUAUAUAUAUAUAUAUAUAUUGAUCACCAAUUUUCAAAAUGGACAAAAACUUGGAGUCAUGCAUUUCAAAUUGUGUGAUGCAUGAAAAUCUUGGUCAUUAGACAAUUAUGACUAAUUCGUUGUCAUUUGUUUAUGUGAGUCAAGUGAACGACUAAUGGAUCUAGUACAUGUUGAUAUUGACUAUUCAGAUCCACAACAAAGGACGAUAACUCCAUUCGUCACGAUUUUCUGAUGUUUCAGUAAAUAUGGUUGUGUUUAUAAGAUUAAGCAUAAUUUUGAUACUUUGAAAAAAUAGCAGAACAAAUAAAAAGAAUCUAUUAGGCGGUAAGAUAAAAGUUUGUUCAAUCUAAAAGGAAAAUAGAGGAAUUCAGUAUCAUGUUUAAGGAUCAUCUUAGUGAUUGUGGAUUUAUAUGACAAUUGAUCCUCAUAGAACAUCUUAGUGUAAUUGUAUGACCAAGAAGAUGAAUCAAACAUUUUUUGAAAUGGAUCGAUCAUAGAUGAGUCAUACUUUGUUUCGAUAAAGGUUUAGAGUCAUACUCUAGUAACUAUAAAUCAUAUCUUGAAAAUCGUUUCAAACUAAGAAGGUCUAAAACACCUCGAAAUAUGUUAAGUAAAAACACUUUCUUACUCUAGCACAUAUAGAAUUAGAGUUGUGAUGUUUUCGUUAAUCAAGAAGAAAAAGAUAAACUGAGACCUAUUCUAUGCAGUGUUUUCUUAUCGAGAAUCCAUAGUAACUUUUGAAUAUUUGUUUUACCUCAUCAAGGAAUGUUCCUUGAGAGAAAACUCAUAUGUCAAAAUGUCAGUGGGAGUCGUAUUGAUCUUGAGAGUUUCAAGAGUCAAUUAAUAAUAAACCUUUUAGUUAUCACUACAACUCGACCUGUGGUUGAUAACCUAUCAUGUUUGGUUGACACAUUCUUAUUUCUAUACACUUCUAGUUGUGUUGGAAAGCUUGUGAGUUUUAUGUUUUCAUUUAACUACAAAAGAAAAGUGUGUUGGUAAGUGAAAGUGCAUUAAUCAAUAUGGGUGACUUGCUAACAAUAUGGAAGCACCGGUAGGCCCUUGAGCUACCAAAGGGUAAAAAAUUUAGAAAUAUCAAAUUUCAGUCCAUGAAGAAAAGCUAAAUUUGAAUAUGUUUAUGUCCUAAACCUUGUCUUAUGAUUGUAGGUUAGAAAUGAUAGAUUCACAUAGAUGGGAAUGUAUGCACCGUAAAAUCUAGGUGGCAAUGGUUUCACUCUAUUUUCUAAGGAAUGAUUGUUAAGAAAUACUUUCUCUAAUAGAUUAUAUAAUCUGAUAAAGAUCAAUAUGGAUGUUGGUUGUGUUAAUUGUAUUCUCAAUUUCACAAUAUGAUUACGACAUCUCUCUUCAUAUUUCAAAUUCUAAGGAAUGGAAAGGAAUUGUUUGAACUUUCAAGACACAUAUCUAUAAGUUCUGAAAGGGUUUAAAAACACACAUAUGUUAUCCAAUUAAGGUGUAUAAGCUUAAAAGUUCUAGUUGGAGACUUAUCGUAGCAUCGCGUAACAAAAAUCUAUACUUCAUUGGGAAAGUCAAGAGUAUUGAUUUCUAGAACUCCAGUUGAUUUCUAGGUACAUGUCAAAGCUAGUAGGAUCAUAAUUGCUAUGCUAGUAUUGCAUGUUGAUAAUAUUGUUUGUAGGGAACAAAGUUUUUCAAUUUGCAAACUGCAAAGCCUGGGAAUUAUUUCUCUAUAGUAUAAUUAAGGGAAAGGGCACUAUUACUUCUUUUCAAAUCUAAAGGUUUAGAUCGUAUAGUUUAACAGAACUUAGUCAUAGCCAUAUGAAUAUCAUGUUGACAUGGUUCAACAUAGGAAAUUCAAUAUAUGGAAAUAUUAUAGCAAUAGAUUGAACAUAUAUCAGAUCCUUAUAUAAGAUAUAAUGAAUCGAGUCCUAUAUGCUUCUAAUAUAGGAUCGAUUACAUAUGCUAUAAUAUUCACUUAUUCUAAUUUUUUCAAAUGCUUAGAGCAUUGCGAGAAAAAGGACUAGAACUUUGUGUAAGUAAAGUUUUAAACAAACAGUCAUGAACAUUAUAAGGUCAGACCAAAGUAGUGCUUGCUUGUGGACAGUUAGAAGUAUGAUAUUAGUUUGGACAGACCAUAGUGACAUGAUUCUGAGUGGAGAUGAUUCUUGAUCAGAAUUAGUGGUCAUAUGGUCGUAUGGAAAUGUUUCAUAAUGGGAGAUGGUUCAAAAGUCUACAUGUAAGUUGGAAACUUUAAUGAAAGAGAAGUUUUCAAGGAGUGUACCUUGAAUUAGAACCUUCAUUACCAUGAAUUGUUUCUAGUAACAAAGUUCUAGUGGGAUAUUCUGCAAUAUCAAAGACUCAGUCAUUGAGACUUUGGAAUCUUGAUAUCAUGGGAGAUUAAUGCAUGUUAAGUUGGAAUUCCAUCAUAUCUUGGAUAGUGAUAAGAAUUUGGAAUUAUGAAAAGUGCACCAUUGGAAUAAUGCCCGAUUGAUCUUUUCAUAAAGGAAGGACUAUAGAGAGGCAUAGUAUGCAUGUUCAUAACGUGGAAUGACUAAUAUUUUAUUUAAGUGGUUAGUUGAUUACUCGAAACAUUAUACAAUGAAUUAAGUCAUAAUUAUUAUGAUGAUUAAAUAAUACAAAUUAUUUAUAUUUAAUAGAUUUGAGACCAUAGUUAAUUAGUUUAUUAUUGUGUUUCACUUUUCAUGUUUUACUUCCUGAAUGAUUUGAUUAUAUGAAAUUCCACAGUUGCUCAUACUUUUGGAAGUAAGUAGUGAAUUAAGAUUGUCAUGAAUUGGAUUUUAGAUUGUCUAUGAGGAUUAGACAUUGCAAUAAGAUUGCUACAAUGGUCUUGAGUACUUCGAAAAAUGGGGAUUUUGAGUAUUGGAUAAACCCACACUCAGAGAAUUACUUCAUGGAUUUUAUCAUGAGUAAUUGUGAGAUGAUAAUAUAUUUUAUUCUUAAAAUGGAUAUAUAUGAGUUGUAAUUUGCAAGUCAGUUGUGCAUUGGUAUUGAGAAUACGCAUCAGUAAUGUGAUGUCAUAAAACGUAGUGUCAUGCAUGAUUUGGUAAGUAUAAGAUACAAGCAUAUAAGUGUAAAGUCCGAAAUCUAGGAACCAAACCAGUGAUCAAACAACAACAAUCAAGCAAUCAAAUAGGAACAGAAUAAAGAAGAAGAAGAAUUUGAUCAAGCAAUGCACAUGUUAUAUUGCUGGGCUGCAAACAUCUAGUACACCUUGACAACACACAGAUGAACCAUGAACUCUCUCUAAAAGACACUACUGACACAAUCUGGCACACAACUACAUGUAGGGAUAGACUGGCCGUGAAUAUGGUUCAUGGCCUAAUACGUGUUCACGGCCGUAUACCCAUUCACGGCCGUGAACGCCUUCACAACCGCAAACCUAACAAAACAUUACAUUAAAAGACCAAGACCCUAUUAAGAUCUAUACAAAUAGUUGCCUAGCUCAAACCACAUAUAAGUAUUUCCUAACAAUCUCCCCCUUGUUUUGGGACUAGCAUGAACUCAGGUCUGCUUGAACACCACGUUUGAUUUUCCUAUAGCCCCCAUCCACAGCCUCUUCUCAAUGAUCUUAGCAACCAUGCUUGUAAAAUCUUUGGCGAUUGGCUCCAUGAUCUCUAUUUUGCAAAUAAUUUGGUGUUGAGCCAUGGUGUGUAUAUCUCUCUCUCUCCUGGAACCGCAACAACUCUUUAGCAUCAACAAGACGAAGAACAGUAUCACUAUCAGUGAACUUGAUUGCUGUUUUGGUUGUCACCUCAUCAAAAGCCCAAAAUUCAAUUCGGUCCAUAUCCUUCUUGGAAAAGUUGAGGAAUAGGAAUUUCUUUCAACUGUUUAGUCAGAGGCCACAACACUAUCUUCAUUGGCUCGUUGGUUUUGGGAUCAAGCACCUCCUUGUCCCAUGUUCAUUUUAUGAUGAGGUUUCGUAUGAGAACUCUCCUGAAAAUACCUAUGUCAUGGUGGGGUGCAUACUAGACUAGCCGAUUCUAAGUAACUGAUAGUUGUUGUGAGUAUUCUUAGAGUUGCUAAUAACACCAGGACUACUAAUAAUACUUAAGACUACAGAUAGUCCUAGGGUUGCUGAUAACCAAUAGUUUUUUUAGACUAGUAGAGGGGUAGUGGUAUACUUGUUUGGAAUACCUGGGGGCGGUGGUGCAUGUGGUUUUAAGACCCUUGGGAAUUUUGGGCAGAUGAUUAUGCACAUGUGCUGUUUUGGGAGCCUGAGCAUCACACAAGUUUUGAUAUUGCCAUGAUAGUGAUCGUGGAGGAGUUGGUUAGUUGCAAAUUGUUAAUAAGUUGAGUUUGCAGUUAAGGACCUCACUCAUGAUAUCUGAUUCUGGGUUGGAAUGAUUUGAAUUGUUGAUGUUAUGUUUGACUAUCUUCAUGGCUUGAUGUAGGGUUUUGAACCAAGGGGUGGGGUGUGUUCUAAUUUAGCUCCUGUUUUGUCUUUCUCGUUCUAAUGGUAGUGAGGCGAUUUUGGUCAUUUCUGCAGUUAAUAGUGAAUUUAUUCUUCUGUUUUUAGUGGGACAGCUUAAAGUUAGGAAUUAUUUUGUUUGGGAUCAGACCUUUUGAGUCUUUGUUAACAUGGUAGAGGUUGAGGGAUGCCUUGUCUAUCAAGGUACAAACAUGUUCGAGGAACAUAAGUUAUGAGAAAGGGAGCCAACUCUCCUCGAAUCGGUUGGCUGUGAUGUAUGAUCUUCAUUCUCUGUCAGUGAGCAUGAUUUUAACCUUUGGGAGAGUGUGUGAUCAAAUUUGGCGUACGCGCCAGUUUUGGAAAUCUUUAGGUCUUAAUUGCAAUUUUGGGCAUUCGUUGUGCCGAUGGCUUGAACAAGAAGUGAUUGGUCUUGAUAGAUCCCUUGAAGGGAUUUGGAGGAGGGGGGUUUCACAAAAUGAACGGUAACAACAAAUUUCAACGCUGACAUCAUAUUUAAGUGUGGAAGAAUUGUAACACCCCUUUCCUGGUUUGGAUCACUUUAGAGCAUUAAGGAGUCAAAACUUGGUUUUUGGGAAAAUCAGCUGUCACGACGUAACCAUAGAGUGACCAUGACGUGAAAAGCUGAGCAUUCUUACCAUGAUACAUAGAUGGUCAUGACGUGAAUAGAUUUGUAUCCCAAGACCAUGAUCUUUUAGGGUUUGCUUCGUAUUUAAGCACCCUAAACUCGUAUUUAGGGUUUAUUUCUCAGCCUCCAUCUUCCAUAAACCUCAGAACCCUAACCCUAGUUCAUCUUGGUAGUUUUGCUCAUUUUGAGUGGUUUUGGUGCUCUUGGUUGAAGAAGAUGGUCCCUUUGGUGCACUGGUUCAACAAUCAAGCCUUUCUUCACCACAUUGUAUUGUUUCUAGACCUUGGUGAGUUCUCAAGCUUUUUCCUUUCUCUCUUAUGCAUGUUAGAUCUAAGUUUAUUGCACUUUUCUUCAUGUUUGGAUUAGGUAACAUGCAUGCAAUCCAUAAAGUUAGCAACCUUAUGGAUCAUUGAGGCAUUUCAUUUAGCAUAUGUCUCAGAUAUGAGGAUUUGUGGUGGUUUGGACUCCAUGCAUGGGUUUUUGCCCCAUUUUCCUUUAUUUGGACGUAGUUAGUGUUCUAGUCAGGCAUUGGACAUGCUUGAUUGAAAAGCUACGAUUUUUAUGGUCCUUAGGGUUGGGGAAAACCCUAUGGAAAAUCUGAAGGAGUGGAUUAAGGGAUUUAGAGCUUAAUGCUCAAAUCGAUCCAGAACGGAUCUCACGAUGUGAGGAAUGGCAUGUCACAUUGUGAGAUGAGGAUGCUCGCGAUUGUUUUUCCUGAUUUGGUCAUGACGUGACCUAUGGGUGGUUAGGACAUGACCAUUGGCAGAAGCUGGCCAUGGUUGACUGUUGGGUCAAGCUAGGGUUUUAAGGAUGUAUGCUAAAGAGGGUAUAUCUUUACUGCUUUUGGGUGUCUUGUUGCUCCUAUCUACCCGGUGUGUAAGAGGUUUGGUGUUUAGCAGCUAUUCACAAUGUGAGUCCUCUCACUAUACUUGCAUGUGUGGUAGUAUAUGUCGACCAGUUGGGUGUUAGUUGUUGAUUGUUGUUAUAUAUAUAAACUGAGAUAACUCAUGGGUUAUUGUAAGUCUGUGGGACUGUUGGUAGUCUCUAGGGUUGCUGAUAAUCCGUGAGGUGUGCUGUUAAUCUACAGGGUGUGCUUUUAGCCUAAUGGAACUGUUGAUAGUCCCUAAGGUUACUAAGAACCUAUAACUGUUAUAUUGUGUAUUGUAUGUGAUAUUCAGAACUACUGAUAGUUCCAAGGAUGUUGUUAUAUGUUGUGAUGUAUGAGAUAUUUAGGGAACUAACUAAGCUUUCGGCUUACAUUUGUGGAUCAAUAAUUUUGUAGGCACUUGUCGGAUUGUGAAGGCGUGAUUGUAUACAGACAUCAACAGUUUUAUGAUUCGAGAUUUCGUACCGUCUUCAUUAUAACAAUGAUUUAUGCAUAAUGGUUUUGGAAAAAAUGAUUUAUCCUAAAUGUAAUUGUAUUAAAAAUGGAUGUUAUAUUACUAUAAAAAGGAAAAUUUAGCCUGGGUUUUUGGGACGUUACAAACAUUAAAAUUGCCAAUUAUAAGAAAUUCACCUUAUCACAUCACAUAAAUGAAGACAUAAAGUCCCAUACUUUGGUUACUGUUAUCUACUUUGUGCCGCAUAAACAUUGACAAGAAAACAAGUAAAAUUGUGCUUUACACAAUCACCCUCAACAAUAAGAACAUUAUUUGUAGAAAAACUCUAGUUUUUACAAAAAUUGUUGGAUCACACCAGUUAAAAUCCCAUCUAAAUGACCCCGGGUACUACUAGACUCAACAUUAAAUUGGUAAUUACUCCAUACAUACUUGACAAUAAAAAGAUCUAACUGAGUUAUCUUUGUGUCCUGUAUUCCCUAAACAUCAAUACAAUGCUUUGUACACAAACAUUUUAUCUACUUCCUUUUCUUGAUUUUUUUAACAGCACAUGAACUUAUAGACAUUAAAUUCAUUUUAUAUUAUUGUUUAUACUCAUUCUUUCAAGUUGUCUUGAAUAUCUUCUUUACACAUAUUCAAUCCAUACCCAAAUCAUUAACAAUCUCCACAUUGCAUUGAAUCAACUAAUGAUCCGACAUGAAGUUUCUUCCAUUCACAAUUUUGCAACGUAUUGAACCGACAUGUGGUUUAGUGGCAUCAUACCACAUGAGUUAAUUGGCGAGUGAAUUGUUUUCCCACUAAAUCAUGCUGGCAUGGACUUAGUUUUACUAGAAUGUGAAACUUAUAUGUUAUCUAAAGGUGACUCCUUGCUAUUCAUUACUUUUCCCCUACAUGUACAUCUUUCUCUAUUUAACCCACCUCCACCAUCACUUCAUUUUCUUUGAUAACAACAUCAAGAAACUUUGUAAUAGACUCAGAACCACUUGUGUCGUCAUUUUCCUUGUACUCUAAUUUUUUGGAGACCUUCUCAACCACUACCUCCUUAAACACCUCAUCCAUAUUAUUUUAAUGGAAUGGAUCAAGGACUUCAUCAUGUUCUACUUUUUCACCUCCCAUGUUAUCAUAAUAUUCAAUCCAUGCUCAUGUUCAUCUUCUUCAUCUGAAUAUCUCUUGAGUUGUUUUGAGCCUAAAUUUGAAAAAAAACCCUACCCUAGAAAUCAUAGGACUCUAUGCCGAGAACUUGCUUAUCGUGACAACAUAAUCCACCCCUUUAGUAUUGACACAAACCUAUUCAUUAAUAACUGUUAGCCCAUAUAUUUAUGGGCUCCUUUUUAUCUUGUACUUUGGCCCAUUAGGGUUUAGCCUAUUACCCUUAGACUUUUGGUAUUUAUUCAAUUGUUCAUGUUUUAUAGCCUUAACACUUUCUAAUGAAGAACUAGAAUUUUCUCUCUUUUAGUAUGAAUGUUGUUCUAUUAUCAUGGUAUCAGAACUUGAAGGUUUGGGAUCUUGAUUGAACGUUUUGUAGCAGUUAUCUAUUGCACAAUUUGCUAUUUGAUUUAUGCUUGUCCAGUAUGUUGCUUCUGUUGGUUUGUUUUUGUUCUUAUUCUCUGAUUACUUGUCUAUUAUUGUUGUUUUUCUUGUUGUGGUUAUCUAUAUAUGGGUAACAUGAUUGGAAAGGAUGACCCCUUUCAGUUAAUUUGUACUCAAUUAGAUGGAAAGAAGUACAUGUAUUGGAGCUAUGUUAUGAAAAACUUCCUUCACAGGAAGAAUAUGUGGGGCUAUGUGAACGGGGUUCAAGUUAAACCUUCAGUGCCUUAAGCUAAGAAUUUUGAUUUAUUGAUUGAUACUUUAGAGACUCAUAACUCCAAGGUUAUUACUUGGAUCAAUAAUUUUGUUAGAUAGGCUAUUGGUAUACAAUUUGCUAAAUAUGACACAACAAAGAAAGUUUGGAAUCAUUUGGAGAGAGUGUAUACUUAGUCCAACUUUGCUAAACAAUAUAAGUUAGAUUAUGACAUUCGUGCCCUUCAACAAUAUGAUAUGAGUAUUUAAGAUUUAUAUGCUUCUGUAUCAGAUUUAAAGGAUCAAUUGGCUCUUACUCAAUCUAAAGAAUUAAAAGAUUAUGUGCCUUAUAUCGCCAGGAUGGAAGAACAAUGUUUGGUUCAUUUUUUAAUAGCAUUGCGCUAUGAUUUUGAAGGCCUAUGUGGAAUGAUUCUUCCUCAUACUGCUUCCCUAAGUGGAUUUAGUUGUUUAUGAAUUGAUUGUAGAAGAGACACGUAUCAAUUCUCAGACGGAUAAAGGGUAUAAAGUAACCACUCUUACGUCCACUCAUGUUGUGUUUAUGUUCCCUCUAAUCACUACCAACAAGCUCCAAGGGUUGGUUAUGAUGAGCGUGCCUUCUACAAACAGAAAAUAAUUAGAAAGCUCGGUGUCUAUUGUUACAUAACAAGGCUAGAUCUGGUCAGUAGGGAGAAUGACAUAAAUCUGGUUGGCAGAAGUUUCAUCCACACUCCUCUAGUGCCCCUUCAUGGAUAUCUCACCUUCCAUAGUUUAUUGAUGUUGCUACGUCACCAACUAACACUGAUUCUGUUGGCAACAUGCCACCUUAUGCGUUGCAUCCAAAUGUUUUUAAGAGUUUCAAGUUGUAUUUCGUCUCUAAUCCUACUACCAUGUCCGCUUCUAUGUCUUAUUAUGGUCCUACAUCAUCCGGUACCUCAGGUAUUCCCUCAUCUUUGUGGAUUUUAGAUUUUUGUGCAACCCAUUACUGGAUUAGGUUUCUACGCCAAUAAUUGAAUUAGUAUAUACUUGAAUUAUUAGCAAAGUCCUUUUGGGUUUCCCUCAAAUCUAGUAAUUGAAUAGGAUAACUUUUAAAGAGAGGGAGACUAAUUUAUUGAUUUAUUAUAUGAUUAAUAAAUAACAAUAAAUGAAUUUAUUUAAUAUGUUAUUGGAAUUAAUUUUGGGAUUGAUUGGAUUAACUAAAAGUAUAGGGGUCAAAUUGUAAUUGUUUAACAGUUGAAGAAAAGAUUCCACAACCUUCAUCCUUUAGGGUGGAUGGUUUCUGGAGGAAAUAUUCUAGGGUUUCUAGAAUAUCCCUUAUAGAUAAUUAGGGAGUAGAUAAUUACCUAAUUGGAGAUAUUAAUAUAAUAUUCAAAUUAGGGUUAUCCAGGGUUUCCUAAUUCAACUAUAAAUAGACCCUAAGGACAUCAUAAUCCAGCCACUUGAUUAUUCCAAGGCAUAGCCAGAAUUCUACUUCUCCCAUCUCUUCUCUCUUUAAGCCUCCUUGUUGCUAGGGUUCGGUGUGAACCAUCAAAGGCACGGGAAUUUUGGUGCUAGCUUCCAAGCGACUACAAGAAGGAUUAUGAUUGAUUAUCAACUAGUAUAAUCAAAAGGUAUUUGACCUUAAACUCUUUUUGUUAUUUUCGAAAAUAUUAGGGUUCUUGUAGGGUUAUUGAUGUUAAAUUGGUUAUUGCAUUCAAUAGUGAAAACAUAGAUUCUUUAGGUUGCAUGUGAACUUAGGGUUUAAGUUUUUUUUUGCCAAAAUAUGAUUUUUGUAACUUAUAAAUCCCAUCAGUGGUAUUAGAGCCAUUAUUUUCAAUUGAAUAUGCAUAAUAGAUGAAAAGAUCAAGAUUCAGGUUCAUAAAAAUUAAGCCCUAAGGGAUAUAAAAUUUCGACUCGGGCUAGGGGUUUUGAAUCCCUACCCUCCACCCUUAUUUUCAAAUUUUCUAGGGUUUCCUUAUUUGAUAAUUAUAGUUUUUAAUUGUUUAAAAUAGAAUAAUUUAAAUUUGAUAAACCUUAUUCCUUGAUUUUCAAAAAUUUAGAUGGAAAGGGAUUAGGAUUAAAUUUAAAUUAUUUGAUUAAUAGUUAAAGGUAAAUAAUUAUUUAACCAUCAUAAGAUUUAAAUUAAUUUAAUUAAUUGUUAAUUAAAAGAUAUGGGAUUAAAUCUUAAUUGGUUUAUUUUAAAUUGAAUUAAUUCUUUUAAUUUUGAAAAUUUUAAAUUAAACCUAGUAUUUUGGAAAAGGUUUUAAAAUACNUAUAUAUAUAUAUAUAAUUUGGAAGUUAAUUACUAUAUGUAUAAGAUUAAGUCAGUCGGAUCACUAGUAUGCCUCAUUCAUGAAGCUGAACUAUAAGGGGGUAUAAUGAAACUACCUAUAAAAUGGUAGUUGAAUGAGCGUCUACUCUCACCCACCGCUUCCUUAUUUGGUGGAGGGACGUUAGCAAAACGGAUCUAAUAGGACACUAACUUCAUUAAAAGUAUAAUGUUAUUAAAUUAGUAUAACUCUUUUAAAAAAUCCCACUCUAGUUACUUUAGGAAAAAUGUGAAAAGUAUGCUAAUCCAUGAAAUUGCACAUUAUGCUUUAUAUGUCAUUAUUGGAGCAUGUGUGGUUAACUAAACACACUAAUAG
This 10791-nucleotide long non-coding RNA is filed under the name Lactuca sativa (garden lettuce). RNAcentral's name for it is "long non-coding RNA (LSAT_LNC004116)". The record is from RNAcentral. Lineage: Eukaryota; Viridiplantae; Streptophyta; Magnoliopsida; Asterales; Asteraceae.